CAGUCGCCACGGUAAUCCGUAGGGUGCAAGCGUUAAUCGGAAUUACUGGGCGUAAAGCGUGCGCAGGCGGUUCGCUAAGACAGAUGUGAAAUCCCCGGGCUUAACCUGGGAACUGCAUUUGUGACUGGCGGGCUAGAGUAUGGCAGAGGGGGGUAGAAUUCCGCGUGUAGCAGUGAAAUGCGUAGAGAUGUGGAGGAAUACCGAUGGCGAAGGCAGCCCCCUGGGCCAAUACUGACGCUCAUGCACGAAAGCGUGGGGAGCAAACAGGAUUAGAUACCCCUGUAGUCCCUGUCUCUUAUAC
This 301-nucleotide ribosomal RNA is filed under the name uncultured bacterium. RNAcentral's name for it is "partial 16S ribosomal RNA". It matches the Rfam family "Bacterial small subunit ribosomal RNA", at positions 509 to 807 of the family's 1533-position model. The record is from RNAcentral.